RNAcentral lists this ribosomal RNA (113 nucleotides) under Microtus ochrogaster (prairie vole). The record is from RNAcentral. Lineage: Eukaryota; Metazoa; Chordata; Mammalia; Rodentia; Cricetidae.
AUCUACAGUCAUUCAACCAUGAAUGUGUCCAAUCUUGACUGCAACUAAACAGGGUUGGGCCUGAUUAAUAACUUAGAUGGGAGAUUAUUUGGGAAUAUUAGAUUCUAUAGGCU